AGUGAACGCUGGCGGUAGGCCUAACACAUGCAAGUCGAACGGCAGCACCGUAAGAUCUUGCUCUUACGGGUGGCGAGUGGCGGACGGGUGAGGAAUACAUCGUAAUCUACUUUUUCGUGGGGGAUAACGUAGGGAAACUUACGCUAAUACCGCAUACGACCUACGGUUGAAAGCAGGGGAUCUUCGUACCUUUCGCGAUUGAAUGAGCCGAUGUCGGAUUAGCUAGUUGGCGGGGUAAAGGCCCACCAAGGCGAGGAUCCGUAGCUGGUCUGAGAGGAGGAUCAGCCACAUGGGAACUGGGACAGGGUCCAGAGUCCUACGGGAGGCAGCAGUGGGGAAUAUUGGACAAUGGGCGCAAGCCUGAUCCAGCCAUACCGCGUGGGUGAAGAAGGCCUUGGGGUUGUAAAGCCCGUUUGUUGGGAAAGAAAAGCAGCAGGUUAAUACGCCGCUGUUCUGACGGUACCCAAAGAAUAAGCACCGGCUAACUACGUG
This 492-nucleotide ribosomal RNA is filed under the name uncultured bacterium. RNAcentral's name for it is "partial 16S ribosomal RNA". It matches the Rfam family "Bacterial small subunit ribosomal RNA", at positions 29 to 507 of the family's 1533-position model. The record is from RNAcentral.